GCAUGAAAGGUUUCAAAUGCCCAAGGGUGGAAAUACAUCGAGCGCAGUGAGGCCAAGUGCCAUCAUGGACCCUAUCCCUAACCCCUACUCCUGAGUCUUGUCAUUUCUCCUAUCGUGCUUCUUUGCCCCAGUGGAGUUUGUUGUCAAAUUUUCAUUUAAAAGGAAAAUUUAUUUUCUAUGACUACCAAUUUUUUUUUUUAAACCGAGGAUUUGUGAUUAAUUCAUAAUUGCAAGCACUUUAGCCUUAUAACUUGUCUAGUCAGCUGCCUUUUCUCUAGUACAGAAUAUAAGGGUUUCAAAUCCCCUCUCCCUUGAGUAAAAGACCUUACAAUUCUUUUAGCUAACAUAACG
This 351-nucleotide unclassified non-coding RNA is filed under the name Hevea brasiliensis (rubber tree). The record is from RNAcentral. Lineage: Eukaryota; Viridiplantae; Streptophyta; Magnoliopsida; Malpighiales; Euphorbiaceae.